GUGAAUCAUCAAAUUUUUGAACGCAAAUUGCACUCUCUUCGGAGAGGAUGAGUGUUUGAGGGUCAGCCUAAAAAAAAAUCGACAAAGUUGCUGUUUUGCGGUGACAUUAGUCGGAAAUUGGGUUAUUUUAAACUUUUGGGAUUUAAGCGGCUUACAAUUUUCUUUACGAUUCCACGAACGUUUCUAAGAUUCAUUUCUUAUACGUUUAAGGUAUCGCUUUUUAUUAGACGUGGAAGUUGCAACGGAUU
RNAcentral lists this unclassified non-coding RNA (248 nucleotides) under Glomus sp. RNAcentral's name for it is "partial contains 5.8S ribosomal RNA and internal transcribed spacer 2". The record is from RNAcentral. Lineage: Eukaryota; Fungi; Glomeromycota; Glomeromycetes; Glomerales; Glomeraceae.